Molecule: ribosomal RNA, 253 nt
Filed under: uncultured bacterium
Lineage: Bacteria
Description: partial 16S ribosomal RNA
Rfam family: Bacterial small subunit ribosomal RNA
Source: RNAcentral
UACAGAGGCCUCAAGCGUUGUUCGGAUUCAUUGGGCGUAAAGGGUGCGCAGGCGGUCGGGUAAGUCGGAUGUGAAAUCCUGGGGCUCAACCUCAGAACUGCAUUCGAUACUGCCUGGCUAGAGGAUUGGAGAGGAGAGUGGAAUUCACGGUGUAGCAGUGAAAUGCGUAGAGAUCGUGAGGAAGACCAACGGCGAAGGCAGCUCUCUGGACAAUUCCUGACGCUCAGGCACGAAGGCCAGGGGAGCAAACGGG